CCUAGAGUUGUAGGCUUUGCCUGCUAUCUCUUACCCAUGUCUUUUGAGUACCUUCGUUUCCUCGGCGGGUCCGCCCGCCGAUUGGACAAUUUAAACCAUUUGCAGUUGCAAUCGGCGUCUGAAAAAACUUAAUAGUUA
Molecule: unclassified non-coding RNA, 138 nt
Filed under: soil metagenome
Description: partial internal transcribed spacer 1
Source: RNAcentral